Molecule: ribosomal RNA, 677 nt
Filed under: uncultured bacterium
Lineage: Bacteria
Description: bacterial SSU rRNA
Rfam family: Bacterial small subunit ribosomal RNA
Source: RNAcentral
GGGUAACCUGCCCAUAAAAAGGGGGAUAAACNAUCCGGAAACGGGUGGCUUAAUACCGCAUAGGUUUCUUGGUCGCCAUGAACCGAGAAAAGGAAAGACGGCCUUUGUGCUGUCGCUUAUGGAUGGACCCGCGGCGUAUUAGUUAGUUGGUGAGGUAAUGGCUCACCAAGACGAUGAUACGUAGCCGACCUGAGAGGGUGAUCGGCCACAUUGGGACUGAGACACGGCCCAAACUCCUACGGGAGGCAGCAGUAGGGAAUCUUCCGCAAUGGACGAAAGUCUGACGGAGCAACGCCGCGUGAGUGAAGAAGGUUUUCGGAUCGUAAAACUCUGUUGUCAGAGAAGAACAAGUCGGAGAGUAACUGCUCCGGCCUUGACGGUAUCUGACCAGAAAGCCACGGCUAACUACGUGCCAGCAGCCGCGGUAAUACGUAGGUGGCAAGCGUUGUCCGGAUUUAUUGGGCGUAAAGCGAGCGCAGGCGGUUCCUUAAGUCUGAUGUGAAAGCCCACGGCUCAACCGUGGAAGGUCAUUGGAAACUGGGGAACUUGAGUGCAGAAGAGGAGAGUGGAAUUCCAUGUGUAGCGGUGAAAUGCGUAGAUAUAUGGAGGAACACCAGUGGCGAAGGCGACUCUCUGGUCUGUAACUGACGCUGAGGCUCGAAAGCGUGGGGAGCAAA